RNAcentral lists this ribosomal RNA (462 nucleotides) under uncultured bacterium. RNAcentral's name for it is "partial 16S ribosomal RNA". It matches the Rfam family "Bacterial small subunit ribosomal RNA", at positions 28 to 507 of the family's 1533-position model. The record is from RNAcentral.
GACGAACGCUGGCGGCGUGCUUAACACAUGCAAGUCGAACGGAAAGGCCCUUCGGGGUACUCGAGUGGCGAACGGGUGAGUAACACGUGGGUGAUCUGCCCUGCACUUUGGGAUAAGCCUGGGAAACUGGGUCUAAUACCGAAUAGGACCACGCGCUUCAUGGUGUGUGGUGGAAAGCUUUUGCGGUGUGGGAUGGGCCCGCGGCCUAUCAGCUUGUUGGGGGGGUAAUGGCCUACCAAGGCGACGACGGGUAGCCGGCCUGAGAGGGUGACCGGCCACACUGGGACUGAGAUACGGCCCAGACUCCUACGGGAGGCAGAAGUGGGGAAUAUUGCACAAUGGGCGCAAGCCUGAUGCAGCGACGCCGCGUGAGGGAUGACGGCCUUCGGGUUGUAAACCUCUUUCAAUAGGGACGAAGCGCAAGUGACGGUACCUAUAGAAGAAGCACCGGCCAACUACGUG